RNAcentral lists this transfer RNA (63 nucleotides) under Paraahimia luodianensis. Its description in RNAcentral is "tRNA-Asp". The record is from RNAcentral. Lineage: Eukaryota; Metazoa; Arthropoda; Insecta; Hemiptera; Cicadellidae.
AAAAAUUUAGUUUAAAAAAAAACAUUAAGUUGUCAACUUAAAAUUAUAAUUGUAUAAUUUUUU